RNAcentral lists this ribosomal RNA (587 nucleotides) under uncultured bacterium. RNAcentral's name for it is "bacterial SSU rRNA". It matches the Rfam family "Bacterial small subunit ribosomal RNA", at positions 338 to 916 of the family's 1533-position model. The record is from RNAcentral.
CCUACGGGAGGCAGCAGUGGGGAAUUUUGGACAAUGGGCGAAAGCCUGAUCCAGCAAUGCCGCGUGAGUGAAGAAGGCCUUCGGGUUGUAAAGCUCUUUUGUCAGGGAAGAAACGGUGAGAGCUAAUAUCUUUUGCUAAUGACGGUACCUGAAGAAUAAGCACCGGCUAACUACGUGCCAGCAGCCGCGGUAAUACGUAGGGUGCAAGCGUUAAUCGGAAUUACUGGGCGUAAAGCGUGCGCAGGCGGUUUUGUAAGUCUGAUGUGAAAUCCCCGGGCUCAACCUGGGAAUUGCAUUGGAGACUGCAAGGCUAGAAUCUGGCAGAGGGGGGUAGAAUUCCACGUGUAGCAGUGAAAUGCGUAGAUAUGUGGAGGAACACCGAUGGCGAAGGCAGCCCCCUGGGUCAAGAUUGACGCUCAUGCACGAAAGCGUGGGGAGCAAACGGGAUUAGAUACCCUGGUAGUCCACGCCCUAAACGAUGUCUACUAGUUGUCGGGUCUUAAUUGACUUGGUAACGCAGCUAACGCGUGAAGUAGACCGCCUGGGGAGUACGGUCGCGAAGAUUAAAACUCGAAAGGAAUUGACGG